RNAcentral lists this ribosomal RNA (2319 nucleotides) under Listeria monocytogenes. RNAcentral's name for it is "partial 23S ribosomal RNA". It matches the Rfam family "Bacterial large subunit ribosomal RNA", at positions 613 to 2925 of the family's 2925-position model. The record is from RNAcentral. Lineage: Bacteria; Bacillati; Bacillota; Bacilli; Caryophanales; Listeriaceae.
GAAUGAACCGGCGAGUUACGAUUUGUUGCAAGGUUAAGCGGAAAAAGCGGAGCCGUAGCGAAAGCGAGUCUGAAUAGGGCGCAUAAGUAACAGGUCGUAGACCCGAAACCAGGUGAUCUACCCAUGUCCAGGAUGAAGGUAAGGUAAUACUUACUGGAGGUCCGAACCCACGCACGUUGAAAAGUGCGGGGAUGAGGUGUGGGUAGCGGAGAAAUUCCAAUCGAACUUGGAGAUAGCUGGUUCUCUCCGAAAUAGCUUUAGGGCUAGCCUCGAGGUAAAGAGUCAUGGAGGUAGAGCACUGUUUGGACUAGGGGCCCUUCUCGGGUUACCGAAUUCAGAUAAACUCCGAAUGCCAUGUACUUAUACUCGGGAGUCAGACUGCGAGUGAUAAGAUCCGUAGUCGAAAGGGAAACAGCCCAGACCACCAGUUAAGGUCCCCAAAUAUAUGUUAAGUGGAAAAGGAUGUGGGGUUGCUUAGACAACCAGGAUGUUGGCUUAGAAGCAGCCACCAUUGAAAGAGUGCGUAAUAGCUCACUGGUCGAGUGACCCCGCGCCGAAAAUGUACCGGGGCUAAACAUAUUACCGAAACUGUGGAUGAACCUCUUUAGAGGUUCGUGGUAGGAGAGCGUUCUAAGGGCGGUGAAGUCAGACCGGAAGGACUGGUGGAGCGCUUAGAAGUGAGAAUGCCGGUAUGAGUAGCGAAAGAAGGGUGAGAAUCCCUUCCACCGAAUAUCUAAGGUUUCCUGAGGAAGGCUCGUCCGCUCAGGGUUAGUCGGGACCUAAGCCGAGGCCGAUAGGCGUAGGCGAUGGACAACAGGUAGAGAUUCCUGUACCAGUGCUAAUUGUUUAACCGAUGGGGUGACACAGAAGGAUAGGGAAUCGCACGAAUGGAAAUGUGCGUCCAAGCAGUGAGUGUGAGAAGUAGGCAAAUCCGCUUCUCGCGAAGCAUGAGCUGUGAUGGGGAAGGAAAUUAAGUACGGAAGUUCCUGAUUUCACGCUGUCAAGAAAAGCCUCUAGGAAGAGUAGUACUGCCCGUACCGCAAACCGACACAGGUAGAUGAGGAGAGAAUCCUAAGGUGAGCGAGAGAACUCUCGUUAAGGAACUCGGCAAAAUGACCCCGUAACUUCGGGAGAAGGGGUGCUCUAUUAGGGUGCAAGCCCGAGAGAGCCGCAGUGAAUAGGCCCAGGCGACUGUUUAGCAAAAACACAGGUCUCUGCAAAACCGUAAGGUGACGUAUAGGGGCUGACGCCUGCCCGGUGCUGGAAGGUUAAGAGGAGUGCUUAGCUUCGGCGAAGGUACGAAUUGAAGCCCCAGUAAACGGCGGCCGUAACUAUAACGGUCCUAAGGUAGCGAAAUUCCUUGUCGGGUAAGUUCCGACCCGCACGAAAGGCGCAACGAUCUGGGCACUGUCUCAACGAGAGACUCGGUGAAAUUAUAGUACCUGUGAAGAUGCAGGUUACCCGCGACAGGACGGAAAGACCCCGUGGAGCUUUACUGCAACCUGAUAUGGAAUGUUUGUACCGCUUGUACAGGAUAGGUAGGAGCCGAAGAGACGUGUGCGCUAGCAUACGAGGAGGCAAUGGUGGGAUACUACCCUGGCUGUAUGACCAUUCUAACCCGCCACGCUUAGCGCGUGGGGAGACAGUGUCAGGUGGGCAGUUUGACUGGGGCGGUCGCCUCCUAAAGAGUAACGGAGGCGCCCAAAGGUUCCCUCAGAAUGGAUGGAAAUCAUUCGCAGAGUGUAAAGGCACAAGGGAGCUUGACUGCGAGACUGACAAGUCGAGCAGGGACGAAAGUCGGGCUUAGUGAUCCGGUGGUUCCGCAUGGAAGGGCCAUCGCUCAACGGAUAAAAGCUACCCCGGGGAUAACAGGCUUAUCUCCCCCAAGAGUCCACAUCGACGGGGAGGUUUGGCACCUCGAUGUCGGCUCGUCGCAUCCUGGGGCUGUAGUCGGUCCCAAGGGUUGGGCUGUUCGCCCAUUAAAGCGGCACGCGAGCUGGGUUCAGAACGUCGUGAGACAGUUCGGUCCCUAUCCGUCGCGGGCGCAGGAAAUUUGAGAGGAGCUGUCCUUAGUACGAGAGGACCGGGAUGGACACACCGCUGGUGUACCAGUUGUUCCGCCAGGAGCAUCGCUGGGUAGCUAUGUGUGGCAGGGAUAAACGCUGAAAGCAUCUAAGCGUGAAGCCCCCCUCAAGAUGAGAUUUCCCAUUUCUUCGGAAAGUAAGAUCCCUGAAAGAUGAUCAGGUAGAUAGGUUUGGAGUGGAAGUGUAGCGAUACAUGGAGCGGACAAAUACUAAUCGAUCGAGGACUUAACCAAAA